RNAcentral lists this ribosomal RNA (505 nucleotides) under uncultured bacterium. Its description in RNAcentral is "partial 16S ribosomal RNA". It matches the Rfam family "Bacterial small subunit ribosomal RNA", at positions 28 to 507 of the family's 1533-position model. The record is from RNAcentral.
GACGAACGCUGGCGGCGUGCCUAAUACAUGCAAGUAGAACGCACAGUUUAUACCGUAGCUUGCUACACCAUAGACUGUGAGUUGCGAACGGGUGAGUAACGCGUAGGUAACCUGCCUGGUAGCAGGGGAUAACUAUUGGAAACGAUAGCUAAUACCGCAUAAUAUUGAUUAUUGCAUGAUAAUUGAUUGAAAGAUGCUAUUGCAUCACUACCAGAUGGACCUGCGUUGUAUUAGCUAGUAGGUGAGGUAACGGCUCACCUAGGCGACGAUACAUAGCCGACCUGAGAGGGUGAUCGGCCACACUGGGACUGAGACACGGCCCAGACUCCUACGGGAGGCAGCAGUAGGGAAUCUUCGGCAAUGGACGAAAGUCUGACCGAGCAACGCCGCGUGAGUGAAGAAGGUUUUCGGAUCGUAAAGCUCUGUUGUAAGAGAAGAACGGGUGUGAGAGUGGAAAGUUCACACUGUGACGGUAUCUUACCAGAAAGGGACGGCUAACUACGUG